UCCAGGCACCUGGAGCCCCAAGCAGCUCCACGGGAUAGGGACUGGGCAGGAAAGUCUGGCGGUUCACGUGACUCUUCAAACAUCUCUGCAGAGAAAGCGGCACUAUUGGCGCCUGGACUGCAAGUGUAUCACGCUCUUCCAGAACAACACGACCAACAGAUACUAUAAGGAAAUUCCACUGUCAGAAAUCCUCACGGUGGAGUCCGCCCAGAACUUCAGCCUUGUGCCGCCGGGCACCAACCCACACUGCUUUGAGAUCGUCACUGCCAAUGCCACCUACUUCGUGGGCGAGAUGCCUGGCGGGACUCCGGGUGGGCCAAGUGGGCAGGGGGCUGAGGCCGCCCGGGGCUGGGAGACAGCCAUCCGCCAGGCCCUGAUGCCCGUCAUCCUUCAGGACGCACCCAGCGCCCCAGGCCACGCGCCCCACAGACAAGCUUCUCUGAGCAUCUCUGUGUCCAACAGUCAGAUCCAAGAGAAUGUGGACAUUGCCACUGUCUACCAGAUCUUCCCUGACGAAGUGCUGGGCUCAGGGCAGUUUGGAGUGGUCUAUGGAGGAAAACACCGGAAGACAGGCCGGGACGUGGCAGUUAAGGUCAUUGACAAACUGCGCUUCCCUACCAAGCAGGAGAGCCAGCUCCGGAAUGAAGUGGCCAUUCUGCAGAGCCUGCGGCAUCCCGGGAUCGUGAACCUGGAGUGCAUGUUCGAGACGCCUGAGAAAGUGUUUGUGGUGAUGGAGAAGCUGCAUGGGGACAUGUUGGAGAUGAUCCUGUCCAGUGAGAAGGGCCGGCUGCCUGAGCGCCUCACCAAGUUCCUCAUCACCCAGAUCCUGGUGGCUUUGAGACACCUUCACUUCAAGAACAUUGUCCACUGUGACUUGAAACCAGAAAACGUGUUGCUGGCAUCAGCGGACCCAUUUCCUCAGGUGAAGCUGUGUGACUUUGGCUUUGCUCGCAUCAUCGGCGAGAAGUCGUUCCGCCGCUCAGUGGUGGGCACGCCGGCCUACCUGGCGCCCGAGGUGCUGCUCAACCAGGGCUACAACCGCUCGCUGGACAUGUGGUCAGUGGGCGUGAUCAUGUACGUCAGCCUCAGCGGCACCUUCCCUUUCAACGAGGAUGAGGACAUCAAUGACCAGAUCCAGAACGCCGCCUUCAUGUACCCGGCCAGCCCCUGGAGCCACAUCUCAGCUGGAGGUGCCUGGGGCCCGCCUACCCCAUGGGCGGCCAUUGACCUCAUCAACAACCUGCUGCAGGUGAAGAUGCGCAAACGCUACAGCGUGGACAAAUCUCUCAGCCACCCCUGGUUACAGGAGUACCAGACGUGGCUGGACCUCCGAGAGCUGGAGGGGAAGAUGGGAGAGCGAUACAUCACGCAUGAGAGUGACGAUGCGCGCUGGGAGCAGUUUGCAGCAGAGCAUCCGCUGCCUGGGUCUGGGCUGCCCACGGACAGGGAUCUAGGUGGGGCCCGUCCACCACAGGACCACGACAUGCAGGGGCUGGCGGAGCGCAUCAGUGUUCUCUGAGGUCCUGUGCCCUCGUCCAGCUGCUGCCCUCCACAGCGGUUCUUCACAGGAUCCCAGCAAUGAACUGUUCUAGGGAAAGUGGCUUCCUGCCCAAACUGGAUGGGACACGUGGGGAGUGGGGUGGGGGGAGCUAUUUCCAAGUCCCCUCCCUGUUUCCCCAGCAAUUAAAACGGACUCAUCUCUG
RNAcentral lists this small RNA (1703 nucleotides) under Pan troglodytes (chimpanzee). Its description in RNAcentral is "retained intron". Lineage: Eukaryota; Metazoa; Chordata; Mammalia; Primates; Hominidae. The record is from RNAcentral.